Molecule: ribosomal RNA, 647 nt
Filed under: Vibrio sp. UST991130-029
Lineage: Bacteria; Pseudomonadati; Pseudomonadota; Gammaproteobacteria; Vibrionales; Vibrionaceae
Description: bacterial SSU rRNA
Rfam family: Bacterial small subunit ribosomal RNA
Source: RNAcentral
GGGCGCAAGCCUGAUGCAGCCUGCCGCGUGUAUGAAGAAGGCCUUCGGGUUGUAAAGUACUUUCAGCAGUGAGGAAGGUAGUAGUGUUAAUAGCACUAUUAUUUGACGUUAGCUGCAGAAGAAGCACCGGCUAACUCCGUGCCAGCAGCCGCGGUAAUACGGAGGGUGCGAGCGUUAAUCGGAAUUACUGGGCGUAAAGCGCAUGCAGGUGGAUGAUUAAGUCAGAUGUGAAAGCCCGGGGCUCAACCUCGGAAUAGCAUUUGAAACUGGUCAUCUAGAGUACUGUAGAGGGGGGUAGAAUUUCAGGUGUAGCGGUGAAAUGCGUAGAGAUCUGAAGGAAUCCGGUGGCGAAGGCGGCCCCCUGGACAGAUACCUGACACUCAGAUGCGAAAGCGUGGGGAGCAAACAGGAUUAGAUACCCUGGUAGUCCACGCCGUAAACGAUGUCUACUUGGAGGUUGUGGCCUUGAGCCGUGGCUUUCGGAGCUAACGCGUUAAGUAGACCGCCUGGGGAGUACGGUCGCAAGAUUAAAACUCAAAUGAAUUGACGGGGGCCCGCACAAGCGGUGGAGCAUGUGGUUUAAUUCGAUGCAACGCGAAGAACCUUACCUACUCUUGACAUCCUCAGAACUCAGAGAAGUUUGUGCC